RNAcentral lists this ribosomal RNA (257 nucleotides) under uncultured bacterium. RNAcentral's name for it is "partial 16S ribosomal RNA". It matches the Rfam family "Bacterial small subunit ribosomal RNA", at positions 524 to 776 of the family's 1533-position model. The record is from RNAcentral.
UACGUAGGGGGGCAAGCGUUGUCCGGAAUUAUUGGGCGUAAAGAGCGUGUAGGCGGUCCGGUAAGUCGGCUGUGAAAGUCCAGGGCUCAACCCUGGGAUGCCGGUCGAUACUGCCGGACUAGAGUUCGGAAGAGGCGAGUGGAAUUCCCCGGUGUAGCGGUGAAAUGCGCAGAUAUCGGGAGGAACACCUAUGGCGAAGGCAGCUCGCUGGGACGUUACUGACGCUGGAGACGCGAAAAGCGUGGGGAGCAAACAGG